AUUAUUUUGGCAGAAAAGUGCAAUAGAUUUAGAAUCUUUGAAUGUGGCUAAUGUGCCAUAAAUAAUA
Molecule: transfer RNA, 67 nt
Filed under: Trigonopterus jasminae
Lineage: Eukaryota; Metazoa; Arthropoda; Insecta; Coleoptera; Curculionidae
Description: tRNA-Leu
Source: RNAcentral